This 1373-nucleotide ribosomal RNA is filed under the name uncultured bacterium. RNAcentral describes it as "bacterial SSU rRNA". It matches the Rfam family "Bacterial small subunit ribosomal RNA". The record is from RNAcentral.
AGAGUUUGAUCCUGGCUCAGGACGAACGCUGGCGGCGUGCUUAACACAUGCAAGUCGAACGAGGAUCGGAAGGGAGCUUGCUCCCGUCUGAUUCGAGUGGCGGACGGGUGAGUAACGCGUGAACAAUCUGUCUCAUACAGGGGGAUAACGCAUCGAAAGAUGUGCUAAUACCGCGUAGGACCACGCUGGGGCAUCCCAGAGAGGUGAAAGGAGCAAUCCGGUAUGAGGUGAGUUCGCGUCUGAUUAGAUAGUUGGUGAGGUAAAGGCUCACCAAGUCAACGAUCAGUAGCCGACCUGAGAGGGUGACCGGCCACAUUGGGACUGAGACACGGCCCAGACUCCUACGGGAGGCAGCAGUGGGGAAUAUUGGGCAAUGGGCGAAAGCCUGACCCAGCAACGCCGCGUGAAGGAAGAAGGUUUUCGGAUCGUAAACUUCUGUCCUAUAUGAAGAUAAUGACGGUAGUAUAGGAGGAAGCCCCGGCUAACUACGUGCCAGCAGCCGCGGUAAUACGUAGGGGGCGAGCGUUGUCCGGAAUGAUUGGGCGUAAAGGGCGCGUAGGAGGCAUUACAAGUUGGAUGUGAAAUAUCCCGGCUUAACCGGGAGAGGUCGUUCAAAACUGUAAAGCUAGAGUACGGGAGAGGUAAUCGGAACUCCGGGAGUAGCGGUGAAAUGCGUAGAUAUCCGGAAGAACACCAGAGGCGAAAGCGGAUUACUGGUCCGAGACUGACACUAAGACGCGAAAGCCAGGGUAGCAAACGGGAUUAGAGACCCCGGUAGUCCUGGCCGUAAACGAUGUAGACUCGUCGUUUGGAGUGUAAAAGCUCUGAGUGACUAAGCAAACGCGAUAAGUCUACCGCCUGGGGAGUACGGUCGCAAGAUUAAAACUCAAAGGAAUUGACGGGGGCCCGCACAAGCAGCGGAGCGUGUGGUUUAAUUCGAUGAUACACGAAGAACCUUACCAGGGUUUGACAUACAAGUGGUAGUGAAAGGAAACUGGAACGACCCCUCGGGGAGCUUGAACAGGUGCUGCAUGGCUGUCGUCAGCUCGUGUCGUGAGAUGUUCGGUUAAGUCCGCUAACGAGCGCAACCCUUGUCGUGUGUUACAGGUAUCACGCGAGACCGCCGGUAGAAAGCCGGAGGAAGGUGGGGAUGACGUCAAGUCAGCAUGGCCUUUAUAUCCUGGGCUACACACACGCUACAAUGGUCGGUACAAUGGGAAGCGAAGGGGCGACCCGGAGCGAAUCCUGCAAAGCCGGCCCCAGUUCAGAUUGCAGGCUGCAACCCGCCUGCAUGAAGAUGGAGUUGCUAGUAACCGCAGGUCAGCGAUACUGCGGUGAAUACGUUCCCGGGCCUUGUACACACCGCCCGUCAC